UUGUGUGUUUGAUUUUGGUAUUGAUCUUUCCGUUGUCUGUUUUUUGUUUGCUUGUUUGCUGUUGUUGUUGUUGUAGGUCUCAAGGAAUCCAACCCAGGGCCUCUAGCAUGCUAAGCAGUAAGUACAAGUUCUAUCAUGGUUGAGCUGUUCCCCAUCCUCUGGCCAUCACUUUUUUUUUUUUUUCCUAUGGACCUCUAGUUCUGGCUGAGGAAGAAGGAAUGGAGCAGUUUUGGGAGAGGGGGGAGAAGAAGGAAGGUCAGAACUUGUUUGUGGUUUGUUGUUGUUGUUACUAGGACUUGACAAAGGGACACUUUGCCACAGAGUCACUUCCCCAGCUCUUUUUUAUUAUUUAUUUAUAUAUUUAUUAUUUACUUUGAAACAAGUUCUCACUGAGUUAUGUGGAGCCUUACUCAAUUACUGAAGAUGGCCUUGAACUUGGAGAUCUUCCCAUCUUUCUCAGCCAUCAGAGUCUCUAGGAUGAUAGAAGAAAUGGGCCACCAUGCCUGAUCUUUUGUUAUCUUACACUCCGUGCUAGAAGCAAUGAAUGGAGAGACACUACUUUCACCACUGGUUGAGAUGUUUCAGUGUUGUGAAGACAGGAAAAUAAUCAAAGAUGUGGAUGUUAGUGAUAGUGGUAAUAUAUGGUCGGUGGUGGUUACUUAGGAACAAGAACCAAGGAGCCUGAGCAUGGGAAAGAAACACCUGUCAAUCAGCAGAGUCUUCUGGCCAAUCCUGGAUUUCAUCCAGUUUCACCAACCAACUUUACCAGGAUAAGAGACUCUAAAAACACCUUUUCCUGUCCCAAGCCCUUCCCUUCCUGCCUUAAGCCCCAUAAACUUCCAGUCCCAUGGAGCUCCCACCCGUUUUCUCCUGUGACUCUUCUCCUGUUUACUCUGUCUGUCUGAUCAAGUUCUGCCCUGGAGCAUCAUCUCAAAUAAAGCCUCAUUCAGCGGCCUUUUAAAAUCUGUCUCCUUUGGUCAACAUCCAUUGCUGGACCUCACACCCUCCCCUACCAGAAAAAAUAAAAUAAAAACACAAAGCAUUGAGAGGGCCUGCUAGGGGUGUUAAUUCCAUGUGAUUUCUGCCCAGUCCUCUGAAUGUCAAAGUGAAGAAAUUCAGUGAAGUGCAGUUAAACGGAGGGAGUAACUAUGAUAAUCUUAAGGCCCUCAAAUGCCUCCUCUUCUAAUUAGUGAUGCAUGAAUAGAUGAAAAAGAUUCCCACUUUCUCUAUGUACUAUCCAGCAAAACCACAGCCAAAGGAAUGGGCUCUGCAGACCCAGUGAGGAAAGAACUGUAGAAACAAAGAACCAGAAAGAAGCCCAGCUUGCCCCCCAUGCCCCCCAAAGGGCUCUAUUUUUUCUUCCUCAGCCAGAGCUGGAAGUCCAAAGAACAAUAACAACAAUAACAAAACAAACAAUCAAAAAUAACAACAACAAAAACAUGACAGCCAGCAGUGUUGGAAACAGCACAGUCAAGAUAGAGUUUAAAGGAGCUUAGUGUGCCAGAUCCCCUGGGUUGGUUUCUUUGGGACCUACAACAAAGAAACUAAAGAAAUACCAAUCCACCCUGCCCCCAAGGAAAAGAAAACGAACCACAGUAGAUGCAUUCCAUUCUCCCCCCUUAAUGGACUAUCUAGUACCACAGAUUUUGAACUCAGAGCUCUUCUGCUGAAAGGAAAUGAUAAAGCUUGGUUUAGUGGCAGAAGCCUGUCGCUGGAGGAAAGAUCACUUGAGAUGAAUUUGUGACCCAACCACAUAGAGACCCCAGUCUACAAACAAGCCAGCAUGCCAGCUUAAAAUUCAAAGGAAGAUCAGAUUGUUUUUAAUGACUUGAAGGCUUAUUCUGUCAUGUAUUACUCUUCAUCUCUGAUCAGUUCUUGGGAGACCCAAAGUAUCAGGAGGUGGGGGUGUGGUUGUCACUUAAUGGUAGAGUUCUUGCCUAGCACGUGUGAGGCACUGGGUUUGAUUCUCAGCACCAUGUAAGAAUAAAUAAGACAAAAUUAUUGUGUCCAUGUGAUAGUAGGAGCAAAUGUGACUCCAUUUUGUUUUAUGACUUCAUCCUGUAAAACAACCAUGCCAAGUAGAAGAGCCAUGACUGGGGCAAGAUGUUCUUUUCCUUUUGCUAUAGAAAUCUUUAAGAACACAAAACUACCUAAUUGGGGUAUUGUUUCUGUAACUAGGGUAACGGGGCUCUGUUUCUGUAACUGGGGUGACUGGGCUAACUGUGAUUGUUUAGGCUUCCCUCCACUUGACUGCACUCUCCUGCUUCUGUAACCUGGCUUGCUUGCAUUGGCUGGACCCCAUGAACAUCCCUUUUGCAGUUUUCAGGCUUAUAAGGAGUGCCCUUGCAAUUGUUCGGGGCUGAUCAGGGGAAUGGCUUUAUGUUCUGGUCAGCCACCAGCAGUGUGCUUCAAUUAAGGCUUGAUUCAAUUAUAUGUGAGUGGUCUGGAAGUCAGUUUUUGAAACCCUGAGAUGAAGCUUUAACUAUAACAUCCAUCUCUAACUAAAAAUAAAUAAAUGAAUGAAUAAAUAAUUUAAGGUUUGA
RNAcentral lists this long non-coding RNA (2543 nucleotides) under Ictidomys tridecemlineatus (thirteen-lined ground squirrel). RNAcentral's name for it is "lncRNA (ENSSTOG00000029805.1)". The stretch from base 962 to 1216 matches the Rfam family "Eukaryotic large subunit ribosomal RNA", at positions 2131 to 2334 of the family's 3401-position model. The record is from RNAcentral. Lineage: Eukaryota; Metazoa; Chordata; Mammalia; Rodentia; Sciuridae.